RNAcentral lists this ribosomal RNA (120 nucleotides) under uncultured bacterium. Its description in RNAcentral is "partial 16S ribosomal RNA". It matches the Rfam family "Bacterial small subunit ribosomal RNA", at positions 215 to 334 of the family's 1533-position model. The record is from RNAcentral.
GCGCUAUUGGAUGAGCCCGCGUCGGAUUAGCUAGUUGGUGGGGUAAAGGCCUACCAAGGCGACGAUCCGUAGCUGGUCUGAGAGGAUGAUCAGCCACACCGGAACUGAGACACGGUCCGG